AUGAAAUGUAAGGAUGCUCUUUUUAGAGGUCCGACCAAAUCAUUUUCCUUUCUACACUGUGCACACACUACACUUUUUACACCUUUUUUAACUCUUCAGUUUUAAGAAUGUAUAACAGUCUCUUAAUUGAGCAUAAAUAAAAU
Molecule: unclassified non-coding RNA, 143 nt
Filed under: Buckleyzyma aurantiaca
Lineage: Eukaryota; Fungi; Basidiomycota; Cystobasidiomycetes; Buckleyzymales; Buckleyzymaceae
Description: ITS 1
Source: RNAcentral